This 4383-nucleotide long non-coding RNA is filed under the name Panax ginseng (ginseng). RNAcentral describes it as "long non-coding RNA (PGIN_LNC012308)". The record is from RNAcentral. Lineage: Eukaryota; Viridiplantae; Streptophyta; Magnoliopsida; Apiales; Araliaceae.
AUUGUUGUGGGUAGUGAGUGGGUUCAACGUUUAUCCAUUUAUUCCCAAAUCAAAACUCAGCCAUCGUCUCUACUCUCUGUCUCUCUCCACUCUCCAGUCUCGUCAGUCGUCUCCACUGCUUAAUGCUCAAUUGCUCAUCAUCGCCAUCGACUCUCUACCUCAUCAUUGUGGCCAUUAUGAUUAUUGACUCUCUCUAUCUCCAUCUUCUUUCUUGCUCUCCGACUCUCCAUUGUCUCUAAAUCAUCUCCAUCUUCUUCAAAAAGGGGAAUCACCGAAUCAAUCUCUGCUCUGUCAUCAUUGAUUUUUAUAUUGUAUUCUGUUAAUAUAUUUGUGUAAGUAGUUUUCUACUGAGUAAUUUCUUUUGUUAUAUUAAUUGGUUUUGCUUCACUUCAAAAAUUAUUUGCCCUAAUUUUUUAUUGAGAAAUCAGUUAAUAUGUAGAGAAUAUUUUGAUGUCUUAAGACUUGUUUACAUGAAGAUGAUGUGAAAUUUGAGUGUUUAUUGCUAUAAUUUUUGAGGAAUCUACCGUUGCGUAUAUUGUCUAUUGAUUUUUACUCUAAGAACUCAAUAUAUGUAAAAUUAUCAAUACUUUUAGAUUACGGUGAUAAUAUAUAGCUUUUUAAACAUGUUCUCUAGUAUAUUUUGAGUAAGGAAUUAACUUUGAUUACUUGCAGUACUAGGGUACUGUUGUAUCAUAUUAAUUUAAGAUAUAUACAUAGGGAAUAACUCAAUUUCCUAUACAGGUAUAUGUAAAGGAAAAACUAACUCCCUCAACAUGAAUAUUUUAGGGCAAAAAGAUUGGGUGGGCAUCUUGUGAUUUGUAGAGGAUGGUGACUUUCAAGCAAAAAAAAAAGGGGACUAUAUAAGCCACACCUUAACCUUUUAAUUUGGGCAUGAGGAGGCGAACGGAGGAGGCUUGAUUUGGAUUUGAUUUGGUUGUUUGGUAAGUUACUCACACACCCACUACGUAUUAUACUCACACACAUACACCCACCCACUGUUAUACUCACUCACACACACAUUAUCACACACAUACAUACACAAAAUAUACACACACUCAUUGUCAAUUAAUUGUGUCUGUGUGUGUUCGUAUGCACAUAUGGUGAGUCUUUUAGGUCUAAAUUCUUGAACAUAAAUCAGUUUGUCCUGUAUUGCUUUGAUAUUUUGUAUGUGUGUUUUAAUUAAUCUUUAAGGGUUUAUGAUUUUCAAUAUACAUCACAAAUUGUCUAAUGAGAGUUCCUUGUGAGAGUUCAAAACUUGAUUACCUUUAUUAGCUAUUGGCCUACCUUCUGAUAUAUUUUGUUUGAUGUUUUAAGCAUGUUCUAAAAAUGUCAAUUCAUUAAUAUUCAUGUUAUUGCCCAUACUUGACCAUCCAAUUUAGCCCGUCUAUUGCUCUGUGCACAUGCUGCAUUGCUGUUAUCAUUUGUCAAAUAUCAAAAUCUAUGGCUUUUACAAAUUGGAAAAUGUAGUUUGCAGAUGUUUGUGUCAAAUUUGUGGUCGUCAGUUAUAAAUAAUAAGAACUAGUGGUAACUCUUCUUGAAAAGAUAUGUAAGAGGUGAGUCACUCUUAUAAUUCUAUUAAAACUCAUAUGCUGCUAUAUUUCGCAAUUAUAAUUCAUUCAAAAUUAUCACAAUACAUAAUAGAAUUCAUUAAUCACUAACUAGUCCNNNNNNNNNNNNNNNNNNNNNNNNNNNNNNNNNNNNNNNNNNNNNNNNNNNNNNNNNNNNNNNNNNNNNNNNNNNNNNNNNNNNNNNNNNNNNNNNNNNNUAUAUAUAUAUAUAUAUAUAUAUAUAUAUAUAUAUAUAUAUAUAUAUAUAUAUAUAUAUAUAUUUUGCCAAUACUAUAUCAAGAUGUUUAACUUUGUGAAUAUGCAGACAUUAAAGCCAAAUUUUUUGCCUUAAUGGUAUCAAGAAAAUUUUAAACUAAUUGGUAUAGUUGCUCUGUUCUAGAAAAGUAGUCCAUUUUCAAAAUCAACGAAUUGAUUUACUGGUGUAUAUAUAUAUUUUAUACAUACUCCUAAAAAUAAUAAAAAUAAUAAAAUGUUAGGUUUAGCAAUGUGAUAUAAUAACGAAAUUAUAAUAAUUAAUUUAAGAAUAUUGUAUUAUUUUACACAAUUACUACUAAAAAGUGAACUCUUCUUAUCCGACAAAACAAAUUUAUAAAAUGAGACUACUUUUUGUAGAACGUAUGUAAUGCAGUAAUCAUUAAUUAGCAUUGAGGUAAUGUAUUUUUUCUAUGUGUUCAAAUUAAAUAAAAAAACAGCUAGCAGGAAUGGUAUUUGUAGAAGAAAAAUAUGGUGGUCUCUAAGAAUAUUCGCAAACCAAAACAUCUAGACAAAUAUUCUAUUUUUUAUUGGUCAUGGUGUCCACUCAACUUUGUGGAACCACCCCAACUUAUAAAUUAUCCAAUGAUUCAUUUUGAUGUAAAUUUCUACUUGACAUUUUCAAUCACGAGUUUUCUCUUGAUCAGGUUUGUCAUAGUCACUUGCUACACAUUUAGCUUACUUAUCAGUAUUCUUUAAGAUUAAAUUUUGCAAAAGAUGUUCUCUGUCACUGCAUUAUGGUUCAGUUUUCUGCAGCUCACAUCACUUGGGUCUCGUCUUUCUUUAUUUAUGAGUUGCUUGGAUGGGGGAUCUGUGCCUAUUUUAACAGGCGUCAACAUUAGUGUUUGAGUGUCUUUGGUGGUGAGUUUUGUAGGAAAUGAUCAUGUGCAAAAAAUAAUAUUAUUACAAAUAUUCUUUCAUUAAAUAACUUGAAGGAACUACUUACAUUUUGAAACAGUUUAACUGUAAUGGAACUUAUAACCGGACUUAAAUUAUCUGAUCUUGUAGCAUAUUUGGAAUACUUGAGUUGAUUCUGUAUUGGAAUCAGUUUUGCUAUGUUUGUUUUUUUAUUUAAUGUAGUGAUCAAGAACUCUUUAUGUAUGUUAUAUUAAGUUGUUUUUGUAGGCCUAAUGGGAUUAGAAAACUGUUUUCGAAUGAAUAACAUGUUAACGCUCGAUCUAAAAACUGUCUCAACAGAGCAGUUUGGUGGCUCUGUUGGACUGGUCUAAAAUGUCCAAAUUAGAUGAGUUGUAUUUUUUAAAUAUAUUAUUACAUACCUUCUCUAACAUGCUUAAGUUUUAUUGCAAUUGGACAUGUGGUUUGAAAACUAGAAAUUGGCGAAGUAGGCUGCUGGAAGUGAGCCGCAGCAUGGCAGGCUGCAGCAGCUGCGCACGCGCGCUGCCUCCCGCGCUGCGCUGCAGUAGCUGAGGCUAGCCUGGCAGUGUUGGUUGCAUGUUUGGGCUAUUUUGAUGCUCAUAAUGCUAAGCUCUUGUGAGGUGUUAAUGAAUCCAAUCUAGCCAAUGUAGAAAGGUUUAAUACCAUUGCCUUGGCUAGUUUUUCUUCUUCUUUUAUUAUAAUAAAUAUUUCCUAACUGCAAGAGGCUCUUAUUUAACGUAAAUAUGGCACUAAGCCCCUUGGUUUUCAUCAUACCUGAUCCGGAUAUGGGUUUGCAUGGUGAUGGUCAAAAUGUCAAGAUUUUGGAGAAGAUGAACAAUAGUCAUGUAUUUGUUGUUAAGAGUGGGUCUAAUCGUGGGUCCCCCAUGUUUACCACUCUUUCAAAAUUUUCAGCCUUCAAAUUUCAAUUUGCAUUCCAUGUUAAAUAACAUUGCUUCAUGCUCUUGCAAAUGAGGGUAUGUAUGUCAAAUCUGACUUUCCUGUACCGAGUUAAUUUACUACUAAUAUUAAGAAACCUUUAGUUUUAGGUAUGCAUAAGUUUUAGUGAGAGCACAGAAAGAACUAUGUAUGAACCAUUUUUUUAUAUUAAAGAAAUGUGUAAGUGAGCAUUUGGGUAUUUGAAUGACAGCUUUGGGUUUUAAAAGCAUUUGGGGUAUUUUACUUGUUGGGGUGUUGCAGAAAUUAGUUAUUACUAGUAUUCAUUAGUUAUUUUGCUUUUGCUUCUAAGUACUGCUGAAAAAGGUCUUUUCAUUUAUGUAGAGUGGGAAUUUGUUUUAGGUCUUUUCAUUUAUGUAUUACCUUCUAUGUCCCUUGAUUAGUAAGAAAAUAACACAACAUUGUUGUCUUUGUGUAUUGAUUUUGGCACUAAGUGCCUCUGGUGAUCUAUUUGCUUUAUUUUCUUGACUUGCUAUUAUUUUUAAAUGUGCAGGAAGACUGUUUCUACGACAUGCCUUACAAUACUGGGUAUCAAAUUUCCGUGCUACGUUUACGGAAGACAAGGGACGAAAUUAUGAAGUGUACUCUUUCUAUAUAUGUAGAUAUAUACUUUGAUUGAAGAAUUGUGGUAGCUUUAGAUGGUUAAUUGUAAAGAUAAUGAAUGAUUAUCUAGUGGAUGAUUUUAUUAAGUUAAUAAUAUUUUAAUUUUUUGUAUUUUUGUCAUUAUUUGCUA